GGACAAACUUUAUGCAUGAACGACUUCUUUAUUCAGGUUAUGCGACGUUUCGAUAUAGAUUUUUGUAUCGUUGUCAAGCAAGACUUGUUCUUGUA
This is a long non-coding RNA of Haliotis rubra (blacklip abalone), 95 nucleotides long. RefSeq lists it as uncharacterized. The record is from RefSeq and is a predicted model, not a curated record. Lineage: Eukaryota; Metazoa; Mollusca; Gastropoda; Lepetellida; Haliotidae. The transcript is spliced from 3 exons.